This 292-nucleotide ribosomal RNA is filed under the name uncultured Planctomycetota bacterium. RNAcentral's name for it is "uncultured planctomycete partial 16S ribosomal RNA". Lineage: Bacteria; Pseudomonadati; Planctomycetota. The record is from RNAcentral.
GGACUACCCGGGUUUCUAAUCCCGUUCGCUCCCCUAGCUUUCGCGCCUCAGCGUCAGAAGAGGUCCAGCACGUCGCUUUCGCCACCGGCGUUCCUUCCGAUAUCAACGCAUUUCACCGCUCCACCGGAAGUUCCACAUGCCCCUACCUCGCUCGAGACAGCCAGUAUCAAAGGCAGUUUUCCGGUUGAGCCGAAAGAUUUCACCCCUGACUUGGCUAUCCGCCUACGCGCCCUUUAAGCCCAGUGAUUCCGAACAACGUUUGCACGGUUCGUCUUACCGCGGCUGCUGGCAC